UACAGAGGUGGCAAGCGUUGUUCGGAAUUAUUGGGCGUAAAGGGCUCGUAGGCGGCCAACUAAGUCACACGUGAAAUCCCUCGGCUCAACCGGGGAACUGCGUGUGAGACUGGAUGGCUUGAGUUUGGGAGAGGAAUGCGGAAUUCCAGGUGUAGCGGUGAAAUGCGUAGAUAUCUGGAGGAACACCGGUGGCGAAGGCGGCAUUCUGGACCAACACUGACGCUGAGGAGCGGAAGCCAGGGGAGCAAACGGG
RNAcentral lists this ribosomal RNA (253 nucleotides) under uncultured bacterium. RNAcentral's name for it is "partial 16S ribosomal RNA". It matches the Rfam family "Bacterial small subunit ribosomal RNA", at positions 524 to 776 of the family's 1533-position model. The record is from RNAcentral.